Molecule: transfer-messenger RNA, 371 nt
Filed under: Cytophagales
Lineage: Bacteria; Pseudomonadati; Bacteroidota; Cytophagia
Also listed under: 1 other name
Description: Rudanella sp004292855 Standard tmRNA
Rfam family: transfer-messenger RNA
About the family: Bacterial tmRNA, also known as 10Sa RNA or SsrA, is named for its dual tRNA and mRNA-like properties. Its role is to liberate the mRNA from a stalled ribosome.
Source: RNAcentral
GGGGACGACCGGAAUUGACAGCUUGAGAGGUCGCGUGUAAGCAUGCCGGGAGUUGAUGGUAUUUCCCGCCCAAACAAGCUAUCAAAACAAUAACUGGCGAAUAUAACUACGCCAUGGCUGCCUAAUCCGGAGGAUUAAGCAAUAGCCAUCAUCUCCCCGGCCUAUGCGCUGCUGGCUGGAUCAGGAGGUGUCGAACCGCAGCGCUGGUUGGUAUAAUGGUAUUGAAAACCAACGAGAUCCAAGUACCUACGGCAACUGGUAGGCCUGACGUGAGCCAGCCUUUUGCCCGACAAUUCAAUCACGGAUAAGCAUGUAGAAAGCCCGUCGGGUUCCUUGACUGGACGAGGGUUCAAAUCCCUCCGUCUCCACCC